RNAcentral lists this ribosomal RNA (253 nucleotides) under uncultured bacterium. RNAcentral's name for it is "partial 16S ribosomal RNA". It matches the Rfam family "Bacterial small subunit ribosomal RNA", at positions 524 to 776 of the family's 1533-position model. The record is from RNAcentral.
UACGUAGGGUGCAAGCGUUGUUCGGAAUCAUUGGGCGUAAAGCGCGUGUAGGCGGUUAAUUAAGUUGGAUGUGAAAUCCCUAGGCUCAACCAAGGAAGUGCAUUCAAAACUAAUUAGCUAGAAGAUGUUAGAGGAAGGUGGAAUUCCAAGUGUAGAGGUGAAAUUCGUAGAUAUUUGGAGGAAUACCGGUGGCGAAGGCGGCCUUCUGGGACAUUCUUGACGCUGAGACGCGAAAGCGUGGGUAGCAAACAGG